Molecule: ribosomal RNA, 465 nt
Filed under: uncultured bacterium
Lineage: Bacteria
Description: partial 16S ribosomal RNA
Rfam family: Bacterial small subunit ribosomal RNA
Source: RNAcentral
GACGAACGCUGGCGGCGUGCUUAACACAUGCAAGUCGAACGGAAAGGCCCUGCUUGCAGGGUACUCGAGUGGCGAACGGGUGAGUAACACGUGGGUGAUCUGCCCUGCACUUCGGGAUAAGCCUGGGAAACUGGGUCUAAUACCGGAUAGGAGCCAUUUUUAGUGUGAUGGUUGGAAAGUUUUUUCGGUGUAGGAUGAGCUCGCGGCCUAUCAGCUUGUUGGUGGGGUAAUAGCCUACCAAGGCGGCGACGGGUAGCCGGCCUGAGAGGGUGGACGGCCACAUUGGGACUGAGAUACGGCCCAGACUCCUACGGGAGGCAGCAGUGGGGAAUAUUGCACAAUGGGCGCAAGCCUGAUGCAGCGACGCCGCGUGGGGGAUGACGGCCUUCGGGUUGUAAACUCCUUUCGCUAGGGACGAAGCUUUUUGUGACGGUACCUAGAGAAGAAGCACCGGCUAACUACGUG